GUGCUUGCUUAGGCAGCACAUAUACUAAAAUUAGAAUAAUACACAGAAGAUUAGCAUGACCCCUAUGCAAGGAUAACACACAAAUUUGUAACAUAUUCCAUAUUUUC
Artibeus jamaicensis (Jamaican fruit-eating bat) is the source of this 107-nucleotide small nuclear RNA. The record is from RefSeq and is a predicted model, not a curated record. NCBI's taxonomy places the organism in Eukaryota, Metazoa, Chordata, Mammalia, Chiroptera, Phyllostomidae.